GACGAACGCUGGCGGCGUGCUUAACACAUGCAAGUCGAACGCUGAAGCUUGGUGCUUGCACUGGGUGGAUGAGUGGCGAACGGGUGAGUAAUAAGUGAGUAACCUGCCCUUGACUCUGGGAUAAGCCUGGGAAACUGGGUCUAAUACUGGAUACGACAUGUCACCGCAUGGUGGUGUGUGGAAAGGGUUUUAGUGGUUUUGGAUGGGCUCACGGCCUAUCAGCUUGUUGGUGGGGUAAUGGCUCACCAAGGCGACGACGGGUAGCCGGCCUGAGAGGGUGACCGGGCACACUGGGACUGAGGCACGGCCCAGACUCCUACGGGAGGCAGCAGUGGGGAAUAUUGCACAAUGGGCGGAAGCCUGAUGCAGCGACGCCGCGUGAGGGAUGACGGCCUUCGGGUUGUAAACCGCUUUCAGCACGGAAGAAGCGAAAGUGACGGUACGUGCAGAAGAAGCGCCGGCUAACUACGUG
RNAcentral lists this ribosomal RNA (472 nucleotides) under uncultured bacterium. RNAcentral describes it as "partial 16S ribosomal RNA". It matches the Rfam family "Bacterial small subunit ribosomal RNA", at positions 28 to 507 of the family's 1533-position model. The record is from RNAcentral.